Molecule: ribosomal RNA, 268 nt
Filed under: uncultured bacterium
Lineage: Bacteria
Description: partial 16S ribosomal RNA
Rfam family: Bacterial small subunit ribosomal RNA
Source: RNAcentral
GUCCACGCCCUAAACGAUUGAUACUAGGCGUCGGAGGUAUCGACCCCUCCGGUGCCGCAGCAAACGCAUUAAGUAUCCCGCCUGGGGAGUACGGCCGCAAGGUUGAAACUCAAAUGAAUUGACGGGGACCCCGCACAAGCGGUGGAGCAUGUGGAUUAAUUCGAUACUAACCGAAGAACCUUACCCACUCUUGACAUUGAAGGCAAGCUCUAGAGAUAGGGCCCUCUCCCACAAGGAGACCUGAAAACAGAUGUUGCAUGGCUGUCGU